Molecule: ribosomal RNA, 406 nt
Filed under: uncultured bacterium
Lineage: Bacteria
Description: partial 16S ribosomal RNA
Rfam family: Bacterial small subunit ribosomal RNA
Source: RNAcentral
ACGAACGCUGGCGGCCGCUUAACACAUGCAAGUCGAGCGAAGCGGCGGACGGGUGAGUAACACGUGAGUAACCUGCCUUAGACAUUGGGAUAGCCUCGGGAAACCGGGAUUAAUACCGCAUAGUCAUAGAUGGGCUCGCGUCUGAUUAGCUAGUUGGUGAGAUAACAGCCCACCAAGGCGACGAUCAGUAGCCGGUCUUAGAGGAUGAACGGCCACAUUGGAACUGAGACACGGUCCAAACUCCUACGGGAGGCAGCAGUGGGGAAUAUUGCACAAUGGGGGAAACCCUGAUGCAGCGACGCCGCGUGAACGAAGAAGGUAUUCGUAUCGUAAAGUUCUGUCCUAUGGGAAGCAGUACCAUAGAAGAAAGCUCCGGCUAAAUACGUGCCAGCAGCCGCGGUAAUAC